GACGAACGCUGGCGGCGUGCUUAACACAUGCAAGUCGAACGGAAAGGCCCUGCUUUUGUGGGGUGCUCGAGUGGCGAACGGGUGAGUAACACGUGAGUAACCUGCCCUUGACUUUGGGAUAACUUCAGGAAACUUGGGCUAAUACCGGAUAGGAUCUCCUGCUGCAUGGUGGGGGUUGGAAAGUUUCGGCGGUUGGGGAUGGACUCGCGGGUUAUCAGCUUGUUGGUGGGGUAGUGGCUUACCAAGGCUUUGACGGGUAGCCGGCCUGAGAGGGUGACCGGCCACAUUGGGACUGAGAUACGGCCCAGAAUACUACGGGAGGCAGCAGUGGGGAAUAUUGCACAAUGGGCGGAAGCCUGAUGCAGAAACGCCGCGUGCGGGAUGACGGCCUUCGGGUUGUAAACCGAUUUCGCAUGUGACGAAGCGUGAGUGACGGUAAUGGGUAAAGAAGCACCGGCUAACUACGUG
This 468-nucleotide ribosomal RNA is filed under the name uncultured bacterium. Its description in RNAcentral is "partial 16S ribosomal RNA". It matches the Rfam family "Bacterial small subunit ribosomal RNA", at positions 28 to 507 of the family's 1533-position model. The record is from RNAcentral.